UGAACGUUCAGUGGGCGGAAGCCUUGGAAGUGAGCGAUGUUGUUAUGAUGUUGACGAGGGAUCCCACAUGUGAUGGCUAUUUAAGACUGGCUACCUUCUCGAAGAUCUCCACAUUUUGGCAGAAGACGCCAAGGCGAAAGGACACUAACUGAACACAAGAAAUUAAGACCAGUUCAGAUUCAACCGAAAACUAAAAAAUGGCGAGUAAAUUACUGCUAUGUAUGGCUCUGUUGAUGGCGGUGUUUGUCCUGUCUGUAGAAUGUCGGCAAAAAGCAGGAAUUGUACAAGCCGAUGGAUACCGCCCAAGACCAGGAAAGAAACAAUACGAUGGACAAGAAGAAGACUAUGAAGAUUUACCACCCGGCCCUCUACCCCGACCAGGCAGAAAACGCCUUUUUCAAGAGAAUUACUGAAUGAUUAACACAGAGAGAAGACAGAUUAUCGGCAAAGGGAAAGCCUCUGUUUCUAGCUAGUUUCAUCCUGACUUUCAAUCAAUUCCAUAACCAUGUAAUGUUAAAUUCAACAAUAAUGCUUUAACAUCACCAGCUUGCUUGUACAUUUAAUUUCAACAUAUGAAAUAGAAAAAUCUCAAAUUAUACUUAGAAAAUAAUAAAGAAUACAGUUUGAAACUAUU
Long non-coding RNA from Actinia tenebrosa (Australian red waratah sea anemone), 634 nucleotides. The record is from RefSeq and is a predicted model, not a curated record. NCBI's taxonomy places the organism in Eukaryota, Metazoa, Cnidaria, Anthozoa, Actiniaria, Actiniidae.